CUACGGGCGGCUACAGUGGGGAAUAUUGCACAAUGGGCGCAAGCCUGAUGCAGCCAUGCCGCGUGUAUGAAGGAGGCCUUCGGGUUGUAAAGUACUUUCAGCGGGGAGGAAGGGAGUAAAGUUAAUACCUUUGCUCAUUGACGUUACCCGCAGAAGAAGCACCGGCUAACUCCGUGCCAGCAGCCGCGGUAACACGGAGGGUGCAAGCGUUAAUCGGAAUUACUGGGCGUAAAGCGCACGCAGGCGGUUUGUUAAGUCAGAUGUGAAAUCCCCGGGCUCAACCUGGGAACUGCAUCUGAUACUGGCAAGCUUGAGUCUCGUAGAGGGGGGUAGAAUUCCAGGUGUAGCGGUGAAAUGCGUAGAGAUCUGGAGGAAUACCGGUGGCGAAGGCGGCCCCCUGGACGAAGACUGACGCUCAGGUGCGAAAGCGUGGGGAGCAAACAGGAUUAGAUACCCUUGUAGUC
Molecule: ribosomal RNA, 464 nt
Filed under: uncultured bacterium
Lineage: Bacteria
Description: partial 16S ribosomal RNA
Rfam family: Bacterial small subunit ribosomal RNA
Source: RNAcentral